This 460-nucleotide ribosomal RNA is filed under the name uncultured bacterium. Its description in RNAcentral is "partial 16S ribosomal RNA". It matches the Rfam family "Bacterial small subunit ribosomal RNA", at positions 338 to 795 of the family's 1533-position model. The record is from RNAcentral.
CCUACGGGGGGCAGCAGUGAGGAAUAUUGGUCAAUGGCCGGAAGGCUGACCCAGCCAUGCCGCGUGAAGGUCAGUGGCCUUUGGGCGUUAAACUUCUUUUGUGCGGGAGCAAUAAUGGUCACGUGUGGCCAGACGAGAGUACCGUACGAAUAAGCAUCGGCUAACUCCGUGCCAGCAGCCGCGGUAAUACGGGGGAGGCAAGCGUUAUCCGGAUUUCUUGGGUUUAAAGGGUGCGUAGGCUGGGAGGUAAGUCAGCGGUGAAAUGCCCCCGCUCAACGGGGUGAAGUGCCAUUGAUACUGCCUUGCUGGAAUGCGGAUGCCGUGAGAGGAAUGUGUGGUGUAGCAGUGAAAUGCAUAGAUAUCACACAGAACACCGAUUGCGAAGGCAUCUCACGAAUCCGCGAUUGACGCUGAUGCACGAAAGCGUGGGUAUCAAACAGGAUUAGAUACCCUAGUAGUC